AGUACCCGGAGGAAAAGAAAUCAACCGAGAUUCCCUGAGUAGCGGCGAGCGAAAGGGGACUAGCCCUUAAGCAACUUGUGUUUUAAGAGAACAGUCUGGGAAGGCUGGCCAUAGUGGGUGAUAGCCCCGUAUCUGAAAAGGCACUUGUUGUGAAAUCGAGUAGGUCGGGACACGAGAAAUCUUGACUGAAUAUGGGGGGACCAUCCUCCAAGGCUAAAUACUCCUGAUUGACCGAUAGUGAACCAGUACCGUGAGGGAAAGGCGAAAAGAACCCCUGUGAGGGGAGUGAAAUAGAUCCUGAAACCGUAUGCGUACAAGCAGUCGGAGCGGACUUGUUCCGUGACGGCGUACCUUUUGUAUAAUGGGUCAGCGACUUAUGUUCAGUGGCGAGGUUAACCGUUUAGGGGAGCCGUAGGGAAACCGAGUCUGAAUAGGGCGAUUUAGUCGCUGGGCAUAGACCCGAAACCGGGCGAUCUAUCCAUGAGCAGGUUGAAGGUUGAGUAACAUCAACUGGAGGACCGAACCCACUGUCGUUGAAAAGCCAGGGGAUGACUUGUGGAUCGGAGUGAAAGGCUAAUCAAGCUCGGAGAUAGCUGGUUCUCCCCGAAAGCUAUUUAGGUAGCGCCUCGGACGAAUACCACAGGGGGUAGAGCACUGUUUCGGCUAGGGGGUCAUCCCGACUUACCAACCCGAUGCAAACUCCGAAUACCUGUGAGUACUAUCCGGGAGACACACGGUGGGUGCUAACGUCCAUCGUGAAGAGGGAAACAACCCAGACCGCCAGCUAAGGUCCCCAAAUACCAGUUAAGUGGGAAACGAUGUGGGAAGGCUUAGACAGCUAGGAGGUUGGCUUAGAAGCAGCCAUCCUUUAAAGAUAGCGUAACAGCUCACUGGUCUAAAUAAGUUGUCUUGCGGCGAAGAUGUAACGGGGCUCAAGCCAUGAGCCGAAGCUGAGGAUGCACAUAGUGCAUGGUAGCGGAGCGUAGUGU
Molecule: ribosomal RNA, 989 nt
Filed under: Pteridomonas danica
Lineage: Eukaryota; Dictyochophyceae; Pedinellales
Description: partial Bacterial large subunit ribosomal RNA
Rfam family: Bacterial large subunit ribosomal RNA
Source: RNAcentral